Molecule: ribosomal RNA, 422 nt
Filed under: uncultured bacterium
Lineage: Bacteria
Description: bacterial SSU rRNA
Rfam family: Bacterial small subunit ribosomal RNA
Source: RNAcentral
UCUUCCGCAAUGGACGAAAGUCUGACGGAGCAACGCCGCGUUAGUGAUUAAGGUUUUCUGAUCGUAAAACUCCGUUGAUAGGGAAGAACAAGUACCGUUCGAAUAGGGCGGUACAUUGACGGUACCUAACCAGAAAGCCACGGCUAACUACAUGCCAGCAGCCGCGGUAAUACGUAGGUGGCAAGCGUUGUCCGGAAUUAUUGGGCGUAAAGCGCGCGUAGGCGGUUUCUUAAGUCUGAUGUGAAAGCCCCCGGCUCAACCGGGGAGGGUCAUUGGAAACUGGGGAACUUGAGUGCAGAAGAGGAGAGUGGAAUUCCACGUGUAGCGGUGAAAUGCGUAGAGAUGUGGAGGAACACCAGUGGCGAAGGCGACUCUCUGGUCUGUAACUGACGCUGAGGCGCGAAAGCGUGGGGAGCGAACAG